Molecule: ribosomal RNA, 98 nt
Filed under: Klebsiella planticola
Lineage: Bacteria; Pseudomonadati; Pseudomonadota; Gammaproteobacteria; Enterobacterales; Enterobacteriaceae
Also listed under: 1 other name
Description: Raoultella planticola partial 23S ribosomal RNA
Rfam family: Bacterial large subunit ribosomal RNA (bases 1-85)
Source: RNAcentral
AAGACUAUGACGUUGAUAGGUCGGGUGUGUAAGCGUAGCGAUACGUUGAGCUAACCGAUACUAAUGAACCGUGAGGCUUAACCUUACAACGCCGAAGC